UAAAGAUACGCUCCUCUGCGUGUUCAUAAGUAAGUAUGAAGAAAUUCUCGUUCAAAAGUUUGUUCUUCAUACUUUUAUUAUAUCA
This 85-nucleotide antisense RNA is filed under the name Lactococcus cremoris. Its description in RNAcentral is "Lactococcus lactis subsp. cremoris ctRNA". It matches the Rfam family "ctRNA". From Rfam's summary of the family: Rolling circle replication plasmids contain a number of mechanisms to maintain a low copy number. One of these methods is to transcribe a small RNA called ctRNA (for counter-transcribed RNA) than is transcribed on the opposite strand to RepB the replication initiation protein. ctRNA binds to the mRNA of repB and causes translational inhibition. Lineage: Bacteria; Bacillati; Bacillota; Bacilli; Lactobacillales; Streptococcaceae. The record is from Rfam by way of RNAcentral.